GAUGAACGCUGGCGGCGUGCCUAAUACAUGCAAGUCGAGCGAACAGACGAGGAGCUUGCUCCUCUGACGUUAGCGGCGGACGGGUGAGUAACACGUGGAUAACCUACCUAUAAGACUGGGAUAACUUCGGGAAACCGGAGCUAAUACCGGAUAAUAUAUUGAACCGCAUGGUUCAAUAGUGAAAGACGGUUUUGCUGUCACUUAUAGAUGGAUCCGCGCCGCAUUAGCUAGUUGGUAAGUUAACGGCUUACCAAGGCAACGAUGCGUAGCCGACCUGAGAGGGUGAUCGGCCACACUGGAACUGAGACGCGGUCCAGGCUCCUACGGGAGGCAGCAGUAGGGAAUCUUCCGCAAUGGGCGAAAGCCUGAAGGAGCAACGCAGCGUGAGUGAUGAAGGUCUUCGGAUCGUAAAACUCUGUUAUUAGGGAAGAACAAAUGUGUAGUAACUAUGCACGUAUUGACGGUACCUAAUCAGAAAGCCACGGCUAACUACGUG
Molecule: ribosomal RNA, 496 nt
Filed under: uncultured bacterium
Lineage: Bacteria
Description: partial 16S ribosomal RNA
Rfam family: Bacterial small subunit ribosomal RNA
Source: RNAcentral